Molecule: ribosomal RNA, 254 nt
Filed under: uncultured bacterium
Lineage: Bacteria
Description: partial 16S ribosomal RNA
Rfam family: Bacterial small subunit ribosomal RNA
Source: RNAcentral
UACGUAGGGUGCGAGCGUUAAUCGGAAUUACUGGGCGUAAAGCGUGCGCAGGCGGUUCGUUGUGUCGGUGGUGAAAUCCCCGGGCUUAACCUGGGAAUGGCCAUGGAAACUGGCGAACUGGAGUGCGGCAGAGGGGGGUGGAAUUCCGCGGUGUAGCAGUGAAGUGCGUAGAGAUGCGGAGGAACACCGAUGGCGAAGGCAGCCCCCUGGGCUAGCACUGACGCUCAGGCACGAAAGCGUGGGGAGCAAACAGG